GACGAACGCUGGCGGCGUGCUUAACACAUGCAAGUCGUACGGUAAGGCCCUUUCGGGGGUACACGAGUGGCGAACGGGUGAGUAACACGUGAGUAACCUGCCCACAACUUUGGGAUAACGCUCGGAAACUGGUGCUAAUACUGGAUAGGUGCCCCUGCUGCAUGGUGGGGGGUGGAAAGCUCCGGCGGUUGUGGAUGGACUCGCGGCCUGUCAGCUUGUUGGUGGGGUAGUGGCCUACCAAGGCGGCGACGGGUAGCCGGCCUGAGAGGGUGACCGGCCACAUUGGGACUGAGAUACGGCCCAGACUCCUACGGGGGGCAGCAGGGGGGAAUAUUGCACAAUGGGCGCAAGCCUGAUGCAGCAACGCCGCGUGCGGGAUGACGGCCUUCGGGUUGUAAACCGGUUUCAGCAGGGACGAAGCUUUUUGUGACGGUACCUGCAGAAGAAGCACCGGCUAACUACGUG
This 465-nucleotide ribosomal RNA is filed under the name uncultured bacterium. RNAcentral describes it as "partial 16S ribosomal RNA". It matches the Rfam family "Bacterial small subunit ribosomal RNA", at positions 28 to 507 of the family's 1533-position model. The record is from RNAcentral.